This 391-nucleotide ribosomal RNA is filed under the name uncultured bacterium. RNAcentral describes it as "bacterial SSU rRNA". It matches the Rfam family "Bacterial small subunit ribosomal RNA", at positions 28 to 421 of the family's 1533-position model. The record is from RNAcentral.
GACGAACGCUGGCGGCGUGCUUAACACAUGCAAGUCGAGCGGUAAGGCCCUUUCGGGGGUACACGAGCGGCGAACGGGUGGGUAACACGUGGGUGACCUGCCCUCAGCUCUGGGAUAAGCCUGGGAAACUGGGUCUAAUACCGGAUAUGACUCCAUGACGCAUGUUGUGGGGUGGAAAGCCUUGUGCGGCUGAGGAUGGGCCCGCGGCCUAUCAGCUUGUUGGUGGGGUGAUGGCCUACCAAGGCGACGACGGGUAGCCGGCCUGAGAGGCGACCGGCCACACUGGGACUGAGACACGGCCCAGACUCCUACGGGAGGCAGCAGUGGGGAAUCUUGCGCAAUGGGCGAAAGCCUGACGCAGCGACGCCGCGUGAGGGAUGACGGCCUGUGU